Molecule: ribosomal RNA, 497 nt
Filed under: uncultured bacterium
Lineage: Bacteria
Description: partial 16S ribosomal RNA
Rfam family: Bacterial small subunit ribosomal RNA
Source: RNAcentral
GACGAACGCUGGCGGCGUGCCUAAUACAUGCAAGUUGAGCGAUAAAGCUUGGUUCUUGCGCCGUGUUCAAGAGGCGCACACGGGUGUGUAACGCGUGUAACCUCUGCUUUUCAGUGGGGGACAACCUGGGGACACGAGUUCUUAUCGCACAUAAGAUCUUGCAACAUAGUUGUUGAUGGUGAAAUUUGCCAUUUCGUGACUGAAACGUGAUCUCUCGUCGUAUUAGCUAGUUGGUGAGGUAAAGGGGCACUAAGGUGAUGAUACCUAGCCGAACUGAGAGGGGGAUCGGCCACAUUGGGACUGAGACACGGCACAAACGCCUACGGGAGGCAGCAGUAGGGAAGCUGCGGCAAUGGACGAAAGUCUGAGCGAGAAACGCCGCGUGAGUGAAGAAGGUCUUCGGAUCGUAAAACUCUGUUGGUAGAGAAGAACGUUGGUGAGAGUGGAAAGCUCAUCAAGUGACGGUAACUACACAGAAAGGGACGGCUAACUACGUG